CAACCCUGCUUUUUCACCUGAAAAGCACUCCUGUGCUCCCUAAGUGUUUGCUAAACUCUUGCUCAUAACUCUUUGUCCAAGAUGGAAACCUGCCAGGAACUGCAGCCCACUGUUCUGUGGAAGAUGCCAACCAGUCACAAACUGGAAAAGAGUGUUUCCCCAGUCAAUGUCCUUGGUGACUCCUGCAGGCACAGCCAGCAAAUGGACACUGUGGCCAGGAUGCCGGGGAUUGCCAAGGGCUUCCAGCUGCAGCCCACCCAGGGCCAAGCAGAAAUUAGAAGAGUGCGAAGCUUCUGUUCUCUGGUGGCAAAUCUCUGAAAACCUCCACUUAUAAAUCUGGUGUUGCCAUCUCUAGCUUUUUUUUUUGAACUUAAGAAACCAGGGGCCACCUUCUGCUGAAGUGAAACUGGCUGUAAAUCCCUAUUCUGCUGCAGAUGUCAAACUGAGACAGCACUGGCUUCAUGGCUGGCUAAUGGAAAGUGCUGUUCUGAUCUUGGUGGGUGGCUUAGAGAUCCUUCUGGGCCUGGCUGCAGCUCCUGCCUUUUCACACUCCUGAUGCUUUGACUUGUUCUAAUUGUGGAAUGGCUCUACUAUCAGCCUGCAAGAUUUUUUUUCCAUGAGAUGCUAGUCUUUGGAUAGCAAGAGUGCUACAAAUGAAAGUUAAGAGACAGAUAUGAUAAUGAAUGCUUCCCCUCUCUCUUUCUCUUUGUCUCUCUGUCCUUUAAUGCAGAAUGAGUUUGCAGGAGAUUAAUUUUAUGUAAAGUUUUACAUUUCAUGUUGUGAUCAGCAUUUUUUUUCUCUUGGUUGGCUCUGAGAAAACAUAUAUUCAAGUUUGGGAAUUCAUCAUGUCUGAUUAAUGAUGUGUAUAUAUGCUUCCUGUAUCAUCUUCCUUCUUUUGGUCUUUUUUAUUCAGUUGUUUGCUGUACUCCAACCCUGCGGAUAGAUGGUUCCGCAGUGAUAAAUGUAAAGUUUGCAUAAGCCAUGUAACAGCAGGACAGCCUAUUAUCACUGUACAUUUUCCAUGGCUGUGCAAACCUCUGUAGGCUAUUUUAUUGCUAAUAGAUCCACAGAGAAACAGUAGUGAUUUUAUGACUCUUUUUAAAAUGGAAAUUCAUGUUUGAGAAAUACAACUGGGAGGAAACAGAUGUAAACCACUUAAGCAUUUGCAGAAAAUUGAGAUGCACACUCUUAUUUACAGACCCACAUCGCCUCCAUCGUUUUAUUUUCAAAAUUAAAAUAAGCAAUCUGUUUGCCAUGGGA
RNAcentral lists this long non-coding RNA (1260 nucleotides) under Zonotrichia albicollis (white-throated sparrow). Its description in RNAcentral is "lncRNA (ENSZALG00000011295.1)". The record is from RNAcentral. Lineage: Eukaryota; Metazoa; Chordata; Aves; Passeriformes; Passerellidae.